UCCUCUGUAGUUCAGUCGGUAGAACGGCGGACUGUUAAUCCGUAUGUCACCGGUUCGAGUCCAGUCAGAGGAGCCA
This 76-nucleotide transfer RNA is filed under the name Escherichia coli. Its description in RNAcentral is "tRNA-Asn". It matches the Rfam family "tRNA". Rfam says of the family: Transfer RNA (tRNA) molecules are approximately 80 nucleotides in length. Their secondary structure includes four short double-helical elements and three loops (D, anti-codon, and T loops). The record is from RNAcentral. RNAcentral also lists the same sequence under 4 other names. Lineage: Bacteria; Pseudomonadati; Pseudomonadota; Gammaproteobacteria; Enterobacterales; Enterobacteriaceae.